GAUGAACGCUGGCGGCGUGCCUAAUACAUGCAAGUCGAGCGAACAGACGAGGAGCUUGCUCCUCUGACGUUAGCGGCGGACGGGUGAGUAACACGUGGAUAACCUACCUAUAAGACUGGGAUAACUUCGGGAAACCGGAGCUAAUACCGGAUAAUAUAUUGAACCGCAUGGUUCAAUAGUGAAAGACGGUUUUGCUGUCACUUAUAGAUGGAUCCGCGCCGCAUUAGCUAGUUGGUAAGGUAACGGCUUACCAAGGCAACGAUGCGUAGCCGACCUGAGAGGGUGAUCGGCCACACUGGAACUGAGACACGGUCCAGACUCCUACGGGAGGCAGCAGUAGGGAAUCUUCCGCAAUGGGCGAAAGCCUGACGGAGCAACGCCGCGUGAGUGAUGAAGGUCUUCGGAUCGUAAAACUCUGUUAUUAGGGAAGAACAAAUGUGUAAGUAACUAUGCACGUCUUGACGGUACCUAACCAGAAAGCCACGGCUAACUACGU
This 496-nucleotide ribosomal RNA is filed under the name uncultured bacterium. RNAcentral's name for it is "partial 16S ribosomal RNA". It matches the Rfam family "Bacterial small subunit ribosomal RNA", at positions 28 to 506 of the family's 1533-position model. The record is from RNAcentral.